GGGCAGGUGGCCGAGUGGACAAUGGCAGCAGACUGUAAAUCUGCCGGCUUUAUGCCUUCGGAGGUUCGAAUCCUUCCCUGCCCACCU
RNAcentral lists this transfer RNA (87 nucleotides) under Bacillota bacterium. RNAcentral's name for it is "Firmicutes bacterium (hot springs metagenome) tRNA-Tyr". It matches the Rfam family "tRNA". Rfam says of the family: Transfer RNA (tRNA) molecules are approximately 80 nucleotides in length. Lineage: Bacteria; Bacillati; Bacillota. The record is from RNAcentral.